Molecule: transfer RNA, 71 nt
Filed under: Empoascanara gracilis
Lineage: Eukaryota; Metazoa; Arthropoda; Insecta; Hemiptera; Cicadellidae
Description: tRNA-Lys
Source: RNAcentral
CAUUGAAUUACUUAAAGCAAGUUUUGGUCUCUUAAACCAAUUUAUAGUAGAAUAGCGACUACUUUCAAUGA